CAGCAGCAGCGGUAAUACGUGAGGUCCAAGCGUUGUUCGGAAUUACUGGGCGUAAAGCGCACGUAGGCGGCGUCGUAAGUCAGGGGUGAAAUCCCGGGGCUCAACCCCGGAACUGCCCUUGAAACUGCAGCGCUAGAAUCUUGGAGAGGCGAGUGGAAUUCCGAGUGUAGAGGUGAAAUUCGUAGAUAUUCGGAAGAACACCAGUGGCGAAGGCGACUCGCUGGACAAGUAUUGACGCUGAGGUGCGAAAGCGUGGGGAGCA
This 262-nucleotide ribosomal RNA is filed under the name uncultured bacterium. RNAcentral describes it as "partial 16S ribosomal RNA". It matches the Rfam family "Bacterial small subunit ribosomal RNA", at positions 509 to 770 of the family's 1533-position model. The record is from RNAcentral.